UACGUAGGUGGCGAGCGUUAUCCGGAAUUACUGGGCGUAAAGGGCGUGUAGGCGGCACUUUAAGUCAGGUGUGAAAUCUCCCGGCUCAACCGGGGGCGUGCAUCUGAUACUGCAAUACUUGAGUGCUAGAGGGGAGAGUAGAAUUCCUAGUGUAGCGGUAAAAUGCGUAGAUAUGAGGAGGAAUACCAGUGGCGAAGGCAGC
RNAcentral lists this ribosomal RNA (202 nucleotides) under uncultured bacterium. Its description in RNAcentral is "partial 16S ribosomal RNA". It matches the Rfam family "Bacterial small subunit ribosomal RNA", at positions 524 to 725 of the family's 1533-position model. The record is from RNAcentral.